GCAGGGGUUAUAACUCAGUGGUAGAGUGCUUGCCUAACAUGAACAAGGCCCUGGGUUCAAUUCCCAGCACUGUA
RNAcentral lists this transfer RNA (74 nucleotides) under Marmota monax (woodchuck). Its description in RNAcentral is "tRNA.Val". The record is from RNAcentral. Lineage: Eukaryota; Metazoa; Chordata; Mammalia; Rodentia; Sciuridae.